GGGUUGUGAGGUUAAGCGACUAAGCGUACACGGUGGAUGCCCUGGCAGUCAGAGGCGAUGAAGGACGUGCUAAUCUGCGAUAAGCGCCGGUAAGGUGAUAUGAACCGUUAUAACCGGCGAUUUCCGAAUGGGGAAACCCAGUGUGAUUCGUCACACUAUCAUUAACUGAAUCCAUAGGUUAAUGAGGCGAACCGGGGGAACUGAAACAUCUAAGUACCCCGAGGAAAAGAAAUCAACCGAGAUUCCCCCAGUAGCGGCGAGCGAACGGGGAGGAGCCCAGAGCCUGAAUCAGCAUGUGUGUUAGUGGAAGCGUCUGGAAAGGCGCGCGAUACAGGGUGACAGCCCCGUACACAAAAGCGCAUGUGCUGUGAGCUCGAUGAGUAGGGCGGGACACGUGGUAUCCUGUCUGAAUAUGGGGGGACCAUCCUCCAAGGCUAAAUACUCCUGACUGACCGAUAGUGAACCAGUACCGUGAGGGAAAGGCGAAAAGAACCCCGGCGAGGGGAGUGAAAAAGAACCUGAAACCGUGUACGUACAAGCAGUGGGAGCCCCACCACUAAGCCAGUGGUGAACUCCACAUACGCAUCCUUUGCUGAGGAUACGGUUAACGGAGCGAAAGCGACGUUCAACCGCAAAAGAAGCAGAGGGGGCUUAGUGGUGGGGUGACUGCGUACCUUUUGUAUAAUGGGUCAGCGACUUAUAUUCUGUAGCAAGGUUAACCGAAUAGGGGAGCCGGAGGGAAACCGAGUC
Molecule: ribosomal RNA, 750 nt
Filed under: Salmonella enterica subsp. enterica serovar Kingston
Lineage: Bacteria; Pseudomonadati; Pseudomonadota; Gammaproteobacteria; Enterobacterales; Enterobacteriaceae
Description: partial 23S ribosomal RNA
Rfam family: Bacterial large subunit ribosomal RNA
Source: RNAcentral